RNAcentral lists this long non-coding RNA (237 nucleotides) under Elaeis guineensis (African oil palm). RNAcentral describes it as "long non-coding RNA (EGUI_LNC005777)". The record is from RNAcentral. Lineage: Eukaryota; Viridiplantae; Streptophyta; Magnoliopsida; Arecales; Arecaceae.
CCCUCGCAGACCAUCAGUUGAAGACGGACGCGAGGGCCGGGGUGGUGGAAAAAAUUAAUUCCUGAGAUACCACAUAUAAUCGCAUGCAGAAGCCGAGAUGCAACACCUUCUUCGCAUCCCGCUUCCUCCUCCAGCUCUGUGGCCGCCUCCGCCUCCGACCGCGCCAUCUCCUCUGCCUCUUCUCGGAGGAUCGCUCUCUCACUCCACCGUUUCUCUCUUUCUCAGUGGGUUCCUCUG